CCUACGGGAGGCAGCAGUAGGGAAUAUUGCUCAAUGGGCGAAACCCUGAAGCAGCAACGCCGCGUGGAGGAUGAAGGUUUUAGGAUUGUAAACUCCUUUUGUUAGAGAAGAUUAUGACGGUAUCUAACGAAUAAGUACCGGCUAAAUCCGUGCCAGCAGCCGCGGUCAUACGGCGGGUGCAAGCGUUACUCGGAAGUACUAGGCGUAAAGGGUGCGUUGGCGGGGUAAUAAGUCAGAUGUGAAAUCCUGUAGCUUAACUACAGAACUGCAUUUGAAACUGUUAUUCUGGAGUGUAGGAGAGGUAGGUGGAAUUCUUGGGGUAGGGGUGAAAUCCGUAGAGAUCACGAGGAAUACUCAUUGCGAAGGCGACCUGCUGGAACAUUACUGACGCUGAUGCACGAAAGCGUGGGGAGCAAACAGGAUUAGAUACCCUAGUAGUC
This 440-nucleotide ribosomal RNA is filed under the name uncultured bacterium. RNAcentral describes it as "partial 16S ribosomal RNA". It matches the Rfam family "Bacterial small subunit ribosomal RNA", at positions 338 to 795 of the family's 1533-position model. The record is from RNAcentral.